UAUUGCACAAUGGGGGCAAGCCUGAUGCAGCCAUGCCGCGUGUAUGAAGAAGGCCUUCGGGGUGUAAAGUACUUUCAGCCCCGAGGAAGGGGGUAUCGUUAACACCGGUAUUGUUUGACGUUACCGACAGAAUAAGCACCGGCUAACUCCGUGCCAGCAGCCGCGGUAAUACGGAGGGUGCGAGCGUUAAUCGGAAUUACUGGGCGUAAAGCGCAUGCAGGUGGUUUGUUAAGUCAGGUGUGAAAGCCCCGGGCUUAACCUGGGAAUUGCAUUUGAAACUGGCUGGCUAGAGUACUGUAGAGGGGGGUAGAAUUUCAGGUGUAGCGGUGAAAUGCGUAGAUAUGUGAAGGAAUACCGGUGGCGAAGGCAGCCCCCUGGGCUGAUACUGACACUCAGAUACGAAA
RNAcentral lists this ribosomal RNA (404 nucleotides) under uncultured bacterium. RNAcentral describes it as "bacterial SSU rRNA". It matches the Rfam family "Bacterial small subunit ribosomal RNA", at positions 362 to 758 of the family's 1533-position model. The record is from RNAcentral.